RNAcentral lists this transfer-messenger RNA (429 nucleotides) under Acholeplasmataceae. RNAcentral describes it as "Phytoplasma sp018274325 Standard tmRNA". It matches the Rfam family "transfer-messenger RNA". From Rfam's summary of the family: Bacterial tmRNA, also known as 10Sa RNA or SsrA, is named for its dual tRNA and mRNA-like properties. Its role is to liberate the mRNA from a stalled ribosome. To accomplish this part of the tmRNA is used as a reading frame that ends in a translation stop signal. RNAcentral also lists the same sequence under 1 other name. The record is from RNAcentral. Lineage: Bacteria; Bacillati; Mycoplasmatota; Mollicutes; Acholeplasmatales.
GGGGAUGUUUUGGAUUUGCCAAAGUCAUUAAAAUUUAUAUAGCAUAUCUUGGUUACGCAAGUAAAAACGUCGAGGUUAAAAUAACCGGAAAAAAUACAAAUACAAUUGGUGUAAAUUCAAGCACAGAACAAAACAUAUAUAGUUAUGUUCCUGCUUCUUACAGCAAUUAUUCUUCAACUCUUGCUUGUUAUUAAUUAAAUAAAGUAAAACCUAAACUUAAAUUAGCUUAAGGUUUAAGUUAGGAUAACAAAAGUAAGCUUGCUCAAAUGGUUUGUUUUUGGCUUUUUGUUGCAAAAUUAACAAAGACUCGUAAUUUAUAUUUUUGUCUAUUUUGUAAUAAAUUAUCAAAUAUUUAAAAUAGACUAAAUAUGUAGAAUAUAUAAAUGAAAAUGGUUUUGUACAUGGGUUCGACUCCCAUCAUCUCCACCA